CUUUUUGCUGUGGAGCUGCCUCAUGAUUCAUCUGUAAACCCAACCAGACAGGACUGUCCAACAUUUGGACUGAACAAAGGCAGCAGUGAUCAUCUUUAUACUUAGUAAUAGGAAAGCAUAAUUUGUUUCUUGUUUUUCUUGUUUUUUGAUUUGAAAUACUUAGGAACAGAAGUUCUAAUAUUUUCUGUCUGCACUCCAAGGGAUUGGUUCAGAUGCUCCUGCAUUGGAGACCACAGGAAUAAACCCUGUCACCAAUAUGAGAACUACCUCAGGCUAGCCUGCUGGAAGAUAAGAAACAACAUGGACCAGAGCCAAGUCAUCCUAGCCAAGGCUAUCCUAGACCAACCAACACAGCCACAUUCUCAGCUGAUCACAGAUGCAUGAGCAAGCCCAGCCAAGAUCUGCAGAACCACCCAGAGAAACCCAUAGACUCAUGAAAAAUCAUAAAUGUUUGUUGUUUAAGCAACUAAGUUUGGGGAUGGUUUGUUACAUACUAGUAGUUAACUGAUACAAACAACCAUGCUGGACCACUAUACUAUAUUUUCCUUCAAAUGAUACUGGCUUCACUUGACUCUAGGAUCCUCCAGGAAUGGAUAGCUCCAGCUGUGAAGAACCUUCCUUUAGACUAUCACCUCAUUGCUCCUCAUCCCUGUCUUACCCCUGCCCCUACCAUUAUGCCAACCCAUAAAGGCAGUUAUAAUUAUUCCUCACCUUUAUUCCUUAGUUUUUUCUGGAGUAGAGAGGAAACCAGGGUGCCUCAACUCUAGCACAAUUUUGAGCUCUGUUUCCUUGCCUACUUCUUUGCCCAUCUCUCCAUCAUUUAGGAGGUGGGUUGGAAUUAGCCACAGUCAGUUGUGCCAAAAUAAUAUACCAGGGUAAUGAGAAGAAGGCACAGAUAGCGCUGGGAAUCAACCCCUCGCACCUUUGGCCUGUCUCUCAGGGUGAGCUUCUUACUCAGUAGUGGUGGGGACCCAAAGUCCCUGAAGGCAUGCUCCUGCUUUGUCACCUGAUCCCCAAAUGAAACCUUGCAAAGCUAAAUUCUCCCUGCCUGCCAGGACUCAGGCAGGGGGCAGCAAGCAGUACCUACAUAGGACUGAAUGGCCCCAGCUGCUCAACUCGAAUUUAAAAAUAAUUUGGCAAUGUGUUCCACAGAGUGAAAGCCUUCUGGGGCAUUUCUGCCAGAUGCCUCCAGCUACUGGGUUCCCACGGAAAGGGAGUGUCAAGUCCUGGGCCCAGAAGAUAUUCUGGGGAUCUGGAACAGGGUACAUACUGAAGGCAAUCCAUUAAAAAUGGGAUUAGAAAUCUCUCAAAGAAAGAAAAAGAUACAUAAAACAUAACUGUUUUUCUAUUGGAA
This 1354-nucleotide long non-coding RNA is filed under the name Homo sapiens (human). Its description in RNAcentral is "HSALNT0307043". Lineage: Eukaryota; Metazoa; Chordata; Mammalia; Primates; Hominidae. The record is from RNAcentral.